RNAcentral lists this transfer RNA (76 nucleotides) under Frigoribacterium sp. SL97. RNAcentral describes it as "tRNA-Phe". It matches the Rfam family "tRNA". From Rfam's summary of the family: Transfer RNA (tRNA) molecules are approximately 80 nucleotides in length. The record is from RNAcentral. Lineage: Bacteria; Bacillati; Actinomycetota; Actinomycetes; Micrococcales; Microbacteriaceae.
GGCUGGGUAGCUCAGUUGGUAGAGCGCUCGUUUGAAAGUCGAGAGGUCCGCGGAUCAACACCGCGUCCAGCCACCA